CAGUAGCCGCGGUAAUACAGAGGGUGCGAGCGUUAAUCGGAUUUACUGGGCGUAAAGCGUGCGUAGGCGGCUAAUUGAGUCGGAUGUGAAAUCCCCGAGCUUAACUUAGGAAUUGCAUUCGAUACUGGUUAGCUAGAGUGUGGGAGAGGAUGGUAGAAUUCCAGGUGUAGCGGUGAAAUGCGUAGAGAUCUGGAGGAAUACCGAUGGCGAAGGCAGCCAUCUGGCCUAACACUGACGCUGAGGUACGAAAGCAUGGGGAGCAAACAGGAUUAGAUACCCCUGUAGUCCCUGUCUCUUAUAA
Molecule: ribosomal RNA, 301 nt
Filed under: uncultured bacterium
Lineage: Bacteria
Description: partial 16S ribosomal RNA
Rfam family: Bacterial small subunit ribosomal RNA
Source: RNAcentral